RNAcentral lists this ribosomal RNA (253 nucleotides) under uncultured bacterium. Its description in RNAcentral is "partial 16S ribosomal RNA". It matches the Rfam family "Bacterial small subunit ribosomal RNA", at positions 524 to 776 of the family's 1533-position model. The record is from RNAcentral.
UACGUAGGGUGCGAGCGUUAAUCGGAAUUAUUGGGCGUAAAGGGCUCGUAGGCGGUUUGUCGCGUCGGGAGUGAAAACCAGGUGCUUAACACCUGGCUUGCUUUCGAUACGGGCAGACUAGAGGUAUUCAGGGGAGAACGGAAUUCCUGGUGUAGCGGUGAAAUGCGCAGAUAUCAGGAGGAACACCGGUGGCGAAGGCGGUUCUCUGGGAAUGACCUGACGCUGAGGAGCGAAAGUGUGGGGAGCGAACAGG